UCAUAUGAAAUUAUACGCUAAUUUAUUACUAAAUUUACAUUAAGGUAAAGUAUUUGUUUCUCCUAAAGGGAAGAAAAUUUUCCUGGUUCAAUGCAAAUCCCAACAGUUGAAGUCACAAAUCCGUACCUGGUAAGCAAAUUGCUUUGCCAAUAAAUACAAGAAAUUGAAGGAGAAGAAUGAGUUCUGAAAAAACAAUCCAAAACUCAACUAUUAAUCGCAUCGGCUGGGUAAAAAGAGAAGAUACCUCGGAAAGAAUUACAGGGAAAAGGUUGGCCGGCGACCAAUUUAUAUGUGCGAUUGAUAACAGAGCUCGUCCAUAUCCACUUUAACGAAGGAAUCCAUUUUUCGUCCGUAUCCAGUUCAACAUAGGAAUAUGUUUUCCUAAUCUUCUGAUUCGAGUCGAUGAAGGAAUAGGUUUCAGAUUAUUUUCUGAUUGGAGGGAAUCUUCGAUCUAUGGAGGGAAAGAUUAAUUAUUUGGGUAGGGAUGGAAAUUUAAAAAGAAAAUUUAAAAAAACUAUGUGCGCUGAACGGCUGAAGCAUAAAAG
This 545-nucleotide long non-coding RNA is filed under the name Nicotiana benthamiana. RNAcentral's name for it is "long non-coding RNA (NBEN_LNC036999)". The record is from RNAcentral. Lineage: Eukaryota; Viridiplantae; Streptophyta; Magnoliopsida; Solanales; Solanaceae.